RNAcentral lists this ribosomal RNA (446 nucleotides) under uncultured bacterium. RNAcentral describes it as "bacterial SSU rRNA". It matches the Rfam family "Bacterial small subunit ribosomal RNA", at positions 35 to 474 of the family's 1533-position model. The record is from RNAcentral.
GCUGGCCGGCUAUUUUAAGACAUGAAACGUCGAGCCGGUAACAGAUCCAGCUUGCUGGAUGCUGACGAGCGGCGGACGGCUGAGUAACACGUAGGAAUCUGCCUGGUAGAGGGGGAUAGCCCGGAGAAAUCCGGAUUAAUACCGCAUACGCCCUAAGGGGGAAAGCAGGGGAUCUUCGGACCUUGCGCUAUCAGAGGAGCCUGCGUCGGAUUAGCUAGUUGGUGGGGUAAAGGCCUACUAAGGCGACGAUCCGUAGCUGGUCUGAGAGGAUGAUCAGCCACAUUGGGACUGAGACACGGCCGAAUGCUNCUACGGGAGGCAGCAGUGGGGAAUAUUGCACAAUGGGGGAAACCCUGAUGCAGCUAUGCCGCGUGUGUGAAGAAGGCCCUAGGGUUGUAAAGCACUUUCAGCGAGGAGGAAAGGGUGUAGGUUAAUACCCUGCAUCU